GACGUAGGUGGCAAGCGUUGUCCGGAGUUAUUGGGCGUAAAGCGCGCGCAGGCGGUUCGGUAAGUCCAUGGUGAAAGCGCCCGGCUCAACUGGGCGAGUGCCGUGGGGACUGCCGAGCUGGAGGGGAGCAGAGGCGAGUGGAAUUCCGGGUGUAGUGGUGAAAUGCGUAGAGAUCCGGAGGAACACCAGUGGCGAAGGCGGCUCACUGGCCCGGUACUGACGCUGAGGUGCGAAAGCGUGGGGAGCAAACAGG
This 253-nucleotide ribosomal RNA is filed under the name uncultured bacterium. RNAcentral describes it as "partial 16S ribosomal RNA". It matches the Rfam family "Bacterial small subunit ribosomal RNA", at positions 524 to 776 of the family's 1533-position model. The record is from RNAcentral.